This 829-nucleotide ribosomal RNA is filed under the name Symmetrospora marina. Its description in RNAcentral is "partial large subunit ribosomal RNA". It matches the Rfam family "Eukaryotic large subunit ribosomal RNA", at positions 84 to 903 of the family's 3401-position model. Lineage: Eukaryota; Fungi; Basidiomycota; Cystobasidiomycetes; Symmetrosporaceae. The record is from RNAcentral.
UAACGGCGAGUGAAGUGGGAAAAGCUCAACUUUGUAAUCUGGCAGCUUCGCUGUCCGAGUUGUAGUCUCGAGAAGUGUUUUCCGCGCUGGAUCGUGUAUGAGUCUGUUGGAAUACAGCGUCAUAGAGGGUGAGAACCCCGUUCGUGACACGACUACCAGUGCUUUGUGAUACAUUUUCGAUGAGUCGAGUUGUUUGGGAAUGCAGCUCAAAUUGGGUGGUAAAUUCCAUCUAAAGCUAAAUAUUGGCGAGAGACCGAUAGCAAACAAGUACCGUGAGGGAAAGAUGAAAAGCACUUUGGAAAGAGAGUUAACAGUACGUGAAAUUGUUGAAAGGGAAACGUUUGAAGUCAGACGUGCGUUGUGCGAUUCAGCUCCGGUUCGCCGGAGUGUAUUUCGUACUAUUGCAGGCCAGCAUCGGUUUGGCGAGCCGGAUAAAGGUUAGAGAAAGGUAGCGGUCCAGGCCGUGUUAUAGUCUUUAACUGAAUACGGAUUGCUAGACCGAGGGACGCAGCGCGCCGCAAGGCAAAGCUUUCGGGCUUUUCGCGCUUAGGAUGCUGGUGAAAUGGCUUUAAAUGACCCGUCUUGAAACACGGACCAAGGAGUCUAACAUGCUUGCGAGUGUUUGGGUGUCAAACCCAUACGCGUAAUGAAAGUGAAUGGAGGUGGGAUCCUUUACCGGAGCACCAUCGACCGAUCCGGAUUUUUAAUGAUGGAUUUGAGUAAGAGCACGUAUGUUGGGACCCGAAAGAUGGUGAACUAUGCCUGAAUAGGGUGAAGCCAGAGGAAACUCUGGUGGAGGCUCGUAGCGGUUCUGACGUGCAAAUCGAUC